GGUUAAGCGACUAAGCGUACACGGUGGAUGCCCUGGCAGUCAGAGGCGAUGAAGGACGUGCUAAUCUGCGAUAAGCGUCGGUAAGGUGAUAUGAACCGUUAUAACCGGCGAUUUCCGAAUGGGGAAACCCAGUGCAAUUCGUUGCACUAUCGUUAAGUGAAUACAUAGCUUAACGAAGCGAACCGGGGGAACUGAAACAUCUAAGUACCCCGAGGAAAAGAAAUCAACCGAGAUUCCCCCAGUAGCGGCGAGCGAACGGGGAGCAGCCCAGAGUCUGAAUCAGCAUGUGUGUUAGUGGAAGCGUCUGGAAAGUCGCACGAUACAGGGUGAAAGUCCCGUACACCAAAAUGCACAUGUUGUGAACUCGAAGAGUAGGGCGGGACACGUGGUAUCCUGUCUGAAUAUGGGGGGACCAUCCUCCAAGGCUAAAUACUCCUGACUGACCGAUAGUGAACCAGUACCGUGAGGGAAAGGCGAAAAGAACCCCGGCGAGGGGAGUGAAAAAGAACCUGAAACCGUGUACGUACAAGCAGUGGGAGCCUCUUUAUGGGGUGACUGCGUACCUUUUGUAUAAUGGGUCAGCGACUUAUAUUCUGUAGCAAGGUUAACCGAAUAGGGGAGCCGAAGGGAAACCGAGUCUUAACUGGGCGUUAAGUUGCAGGGUAUAGACCCGAAACCCGGUGAUCUAGCCAUGGGCAGGUUGAAGGUUGGGUAACACUAACUGGAGGACCGAACCGACUAAUGUUGAAAAAUUAGCGGAUGACCUGUGGCUGGGGGUGAAAGGCCAAUCAAACCGGGAGAUAGCUGGUUCUCCCCGAAAGCUAUUUAGGUAGCGCCUCGUGAAUUCAUCUUCGGGGGUAGAGCACUGUUUCGGCUAGGGGGUCAUCCCGACUUACCAACCCGAUGCAAACUACGAAUACCGAAGAAUGUUAUCACGGGAGACACACGGCGGGUGCUAACGUCCGUCGUGAAGAGGGAAACAACCCAGACCGCCAGCUAAGGUCCCAAAGUCACAGUUAAGUGGGAAACGAUGUGGGAAGGCUCAGACAGCCAGGAUGUUGGCUUAGAAGCAGCCAUCAUUUAAAGAAAGCGUAAUAGCUCACUGGUCGAGUCGGCCUGCGCGGAAGAUGUAACGGGGCUAAACUGUGCACCGAAGCUGCGGCAGCGACACUAUGUGUUGUUGGGUAGGGGAGCGUUCUGUAAGCCGUUGAAGGUGUGUCGUGAGGCAUGCUGGAGGUAUCAGAAGUGCGAAUGCUGACAUAAGUAACGAUAAAGCGGGUGAAAAACCCGCUCGCCGGAAGACCAAGGGUUCCUGUCCAACGUUAAUCGGGGCAGGGUGAGUCGACCCCUAAGGCGAGGCCGAAAGGCGUAGUCGAUGGGAAACAGGUUAAUAUUCCUGUACUUGGUGUUACUGCGAAGGGGGGACGGAGAAGGCUAUGUUGGCCGGGCGACGGUUGUCCCGGUUUAAGCGUGUAGGUUUGCAGACCAGGUAAAUCCGGUCUGCUUCAAGACUGAGACGUGAUGACGAGGCACUACGGUGCUGAAGUAACAAAUGCCCUGCUUCCAGGAAAAGCCUCUAAGCAUCAGGUAACAC
Molecule: ribosomal RNA, 1594 nt
Filed under: Salmonella enterica
Lineage: Bacteria; Pseudomonadati; Pseudomonadota; Gammaproteobacteria; Enterobacterales; Enterobacteriaceae
Description: partial 23S ribosomal RNA
Rfam family: Bacterial large subunit ribosomal RNA
Source: RNAcentral